RNAcentral lists this ribosomal RNA (433 nucleotides) under uncultured bacterium. RNAcentral describes it as "partial 16S ribosomal RNA". It matches the Rfam family "Bacterial small subunit ribosomal RNA", at positions 29 to 507 of the family's 1533-position model. The record is from RNAcentral.
AGCGAACGCUGGCGGCAGGCCUAACACAUGCAAGUCGAACGAACUCUUCGGAGUUAGUGGCGGACGUGUGAGUAACACGUGGGAACGUGCCUUUAGGUUCGGAAUAACUCAGGGAAACUUGUGCUAAUACCGAAUGUGCCCUUCGGGGGUAAGAUUUAUCGCCUUUAGAGCGGCCCGCGUCUGAUUAGCUAGUUGGUGAGGUAAAGGCUCACCAAGGCGACGAUCAGUAGCUGGUCUGAGAGGAUGAUCAGCCACAUUGGGACUGAGACACGGCCCAAACUCCUACGGGAGGCAGCAGUGGGGAAUCUUGCGCAAUGGGCGAAAGCCUGACGCAGCCAUGCCGCGUGAAUGAUGAAGGUCUUAGGAUUGUAAAAUUCUUUCACCGGGGACGAUAAUGACGGUACCCGGAGAAGAAGCCCCGGCUAACUUCGUG